CGGUUGAAUAGGUUUGAGCACUGAGACUCAAAGCAAGGACAGAGGUAGCCCUUAGCUGACUAAAGUUGAAAGGAAUCGAGUACAGGUCCGGACCCCGAGAUGGAUUUUGACUACUACGACUUCGAUAAAGUUACCGAUCCAGAGAUCAGGAAAGUUGUUUUGGCCCACCGAAAUAGCAGAACACCCGACCCCUCCUUGGAAGUUGAUGGCAACCUGUAUACCCGUCGGAUGUCUUCGGAUUUCCGCGCGGAAAACCAAGAAAGCUGGGCAGGUAGAUCAUCGUCUCAAGAAAAUAAAGAUGAGGAGCCUAACAAGUAGCCUGUAUCGCACUUCUCUAGCAAUGAGCUUGCUCUAUAAUUGAACACCUUUUAUAAUGGCAGAGAGAGCCGUGAAUAUUUUAUACUAUACGUUGCCAGGCCAAUUAUUAUAUCGAACCGCAUUAAAUUCACAGCCGCUUGAUGUCCAUUCGUCAUCCAUGAUCUUCAACCUAUUACGCCAAUCACAAUGUAAAUAAAUAUCUAAUUCAAUAAACGGAUAGACUUAAUGCUUUUUAUUAA
Varroa destructor (honeybee mite) is the source of this 557-nucleotide long non-coding RNA. RefSeq lists it as uncharacterized. NCBI's taxonomy places the organism in Eukaryota, Metazoa, Arthropoda, Arachnida, Mesostigmata, Varroidae. The record is from RefSeq and is a predicted model, not a curated record.